GACGGAGGAUGCAAGCGUUAUCCGGAAUUAUUGGGCGUAAAGCGUCCGCAGGUGGUUUGACAAGUCUGCUGUUAAAGUGCAGAGCUUAACUCUGUAAAGGCGGUGGAAACUGUCAAGCUUGAGUAUGGUAGGGGUAGAGGGAAUUCCCGGUGUAGCGGUGAAAUGCGUAGAUAUCGGGAAGAACACCAGUGGCGAAAGCGCUCUACUGGGCCAUAACUGACACUGAGGGACGAAAGCUAGGGGAGCGAAAGGG
RNAcentral lists this ribosomal RNA (253 nucleotides) under uncultured prokaryote. Its description in RNAcentral is "partial 16S ribosomal RNA". It matches the Rfam family "Bacterial small subunit ribosomal RNA", at positions 524 to 776 of the family's 1533-position model. The record is from RNAcentral.